Molecule: long non-coding RNA, 6577 nt
Organism: Alexandromys fortis (reed vole)
Lineage: Eukaryota; Metazoa; Chordata; Mammalia; Rodentia; Cricetidae
Exons: 3
Source: RefSeq, a predicted model, not a curated record
UACUUAUUAAGUUAAUGGCAGUUACUAAUGGAUGGAAACAGCUUUACAAACUUUCUGUCUCUGUCACUGUCUAAGCUGAACUUUCAUCAAUGACAUAAUUUUAUAAUUGGUAGUGAAAAUCAUACAGUAACUCUAACUCUUAAGAAACCAGAUAGCAAGCUGGACACGGUAGCGCAUAGCUUUAAUUUCAGCGCUCUGGCAAAGAGGCAGGAAUGUUUCUGAGUUUAAGGCUAUCUUGUUCUACAUAGCAAGAAAUAGGCCACCUAAUGUCAGAUGGUGAGACUCUAUCUCAAAAGAAAGAAGAAAGAAGGGAAGGAAGGAAAGAAGGAAGGAAAAGACAAAGUAAAGCAGACAAGGCAAUGUCUAGCAGUAGUAGUUACUUUAAAAUACAUCCACUCUCUGACUAUAUAUAGCAAAUCAAGAAAAUCUUUGAAGGGUGGGAUGUAGGACUGACAUAGCACUACACCAUUUUAAAGUUUAGAACAGUAAUAAGUAUCAGCAAAUAUUAAGGUUGUCUUACUUUUUCAAUUUGUAAAGUCUUAGAAAUUUACGUUCACCAAAAAUCAUAUUUUACAAAGAAUGGCUACCCACUUAAUUUUCCCAGAAAUGAACAGGCCAUCUUCACGUACAGCAUCACCUUGAAUAAGGGGUAUAUGUUAAAGCAGACAACACAGUCACUGGCCAUGUUAGGUUCAGGUGGACUUGGAUUUGGGCAGGUCCUACAGAUGUGCUCCAGACAAACCCUUGACCUCGUUGAGCCUCAACUACCUUCAGAUGAACAUCAGCUACUUUGAAGAUUUUUGCAAGAAUUAGAAAAUAUACUCAAAUUAUGUGACAUUAUAUAUGAUAUACAUCAAUUAGUAUUGAUAUUAAUUAGUUUAUAUGCAUGGUAGAGAAUGAUCUCAAAAGGAGUGUUUUAGUUACAAAGCAAGAUUCUUUGAAAAAAGUUCCAUUUUAUGCUUAGAAUACAGGUUCUGGUUAAACUAAACUAAUGCUAUGUAGUUUCUAAACACUAAGUAUUAAUAAGACACAUAAUUAUUAUAAUUCUACUUUUAAUUGAUGUACAAUAAUUGUACAUACACAUGGUUCUUGUCAUCCAAAGAAGCCAGGAUGGAAAGUGAAGAAGGAUUACUAGCAAGGAGGACAGACUGAGGAGAGGGUACUUAAGUGCGCCUUUGAGUGACUGUUAAUUAUCUGUGUAACUGUUUGAUGAAUGUCCCUGUGCUCCUCUAGGCUGGCGGUACCACAGGGACAAUAAUGUUGAUUUAUCUCAAAACAACACUGCAAUUGCCCAGUUCAGGACAGCUGAAUAAAUACUGACUGGCUGAAUGAAGACUAUCAAAGCUAAAUUUGCUACUCAUCACCACCACUUCAAAGAGCUCUUUAUCCCUGUUUCAGAGUUCUGAGACUGGAGAAGUCAAGGACCUUCCUAAAGAAGGACAAGUUACUACAGAGAAACCUGGUCUUAAAAAAAAAAAGGACAAGUUAAGCAUUACACUGAAUAAAACACACACACACACACACACGCACGCACGCACACAUCAUGGGGGGAGGGCGGCAAAAAAACCUCUGCUUUAAGGUAAGAAUAAUUAAUCAUAAAUUUAUAAUAGGAACUAUUUUUUAUAUAAUCAAUAUACAAUGCUUAAAAUUGUAAUAACUCUCUAUGAUUGUUUUCUGGCUGUUGACAGAGGUUUCUGUCCCACCUGGUUCUUCAGUCAUUCAGUCCCAAAGGAAUCACACAGAGGUCUACAUCAGUUAUAAACUGAUUGGCCUAGUAUCUCAGGCUUCUUAUUAAUUAAUUUUAAAUCUUAAAUUGGCCCAUUAUUCUUGUCUAUGUUAGCCAUGUGGCUUGGUACCUCUUUCAGUGAAGGCAGUCACAUCUUGCUUGCUCUGUGUCUGGAUCACGACUACGGACUUAAACUUCCCUCUUUCCAGAAUUCUCAUUGUCCCACCUCUACCUCCUGCCUAGUCACCCUGCCUAUACUUCCUGCCUCACUACUGGCCAAUCAGCGUUUAUUUAAAAUAUAAGUGACAAGCUACAGACCAUUGUAGCUUCUGGCCUUAUACAUCUUAGUAUAGAAAGAAUGUCCUACAGAAAAGAAAGAAAUCCUAGUAGUAAUUGAGAUCUUCAUGAUUUCUCUGUUCUAUCAGCAAAUAGCAAUUAUCCUUUAAGUUUCUAAUUCUCACCACUUACCUAGUCAGCAACAUAAAGAAUGAGUUAAAGCUCAUUCACAAACUGUUGAGGGAGUGGCGGGGCUGCGACCCCGGCACCCCGGCCGCCUGCUAGCUUAUGCCCCGAAAUACUCUCCUUCUGAUCCCAAGUGGGAACACAAACAUCCAGUCCCAUAAAAUCCAUUGGAAUGCUUUAAAGCCAGAGUUCACGCUGGCAGCACAGCCCCAAGAAGCUGUGCUUUAAAAUGACACAGCAUUUUUUCUGCUGCUGUUCCCGAAUCAGGAAAUCUCUCUAUAGCAUCCCACCAACAAACAGCAAAAUUCUGUGUUAAACUCUCUCUCCCUUAUUUUUAAGCCUUCUCAGGUUUUUAAGUGGAUUUAGCCCCACGUUGGGCGCCACUCUGUAGCGAUAGGAGCGGCAGGGCUGCGUCCCCGGCACUCGGCCGCCCGCAUGGCUAGCUUAUGCCCGAAAUAAUUACACGGAAACUGUAUUCUUUUAAACACUGCCUUGUUGAAAUAAGAGCGGCGGGGCUGUGUCCCCAACACCCCGGCCGCUUGGCUAGCUCAUGCCCGAAAUAAUAACACACAAACUGUAUUCAUUGGCUCGUUAUCUGUAGCCUCUUAUUGGCUAGCUCUUACAUAUUAAUCUAACCCAUUUCUAAUAAUCUAUGUAGCCCAUGAGCUGGCUUACCAGGAAAGAUUUUAGCCUGCGUCUGUCUGGAAUGGGAGAAUCAUGGCGACUCCUCGACUAAGCUUCUUUCUCCCAGCAUUCUGUUCUGUUUACUCCAUCCACCUAAGGGUUGGCCUAUCAAGGGGCCUAGGCAGUUUCCUUAUUAAUAAGAAAUCACUCCCACAUCAACAAACCAACAGUGUGCUUUAUUCGCUCUGCACAGUGCUACACAGUUCAGUAAUGGGCACAGGGUAAAGAAUAAGACAGGCAAGAGCACUUUCUCAGAGAGGCUGUAUACAUCCUGUGAAGUCUACUUUGCCCCUACAGCACUCCUGUAAUGUAUUCAAGUUCCUCUACAGAAAGAAAAUCGUUGUUUGGAAUAUUUCUAGACUGCCAGUGUAAGUUAUUUCUAUCCAAAUUUUUGCAAUGCUGAGUAUGUCAAAAAACAUUUUUGAAGUUGCAUAAAGUUUAAUAAAAUUUUACAAUUAAAAUAUUCAGUUUCACCUAAUAUCAUCAGUUAAAGAAAUGAUCUGCGAGUAUUCUCCCUUGGCACAAGCAAGCAACUCUGGUUCACUGUCACACAUAUUUUGGAAAAGGAGCCAAAAUGAGUAACCACCAUAAUGAGAAUGAAAAGCAUAGUCGGAAGUAAAGACUGUAAGUUCUGGAUAUCCUCUGAUUCUGUCAGCACCAAUCAAGCCUUGGAUGCAAGGCAACCAACUAAAUUUAGAACUUGGACCACACUAUGUGUUAGAUGCUGCCAUGCAGUUUUGAUCAGUCCCAAUUGUGAAUUUGGCUGUUCUCAUAACACAUGUUACGAAUCAUCUAAUAGAACCGGAGAAGGCUGAGUCCUCUCAAGUUUAACAGAAAUGAACAUAGAAAAGCAAAGGCAGUAAACAUGUGUAGGUAAGAUUAUAAAUGAAAUAAGGUGGAACGACAAGGAAGAGAAAACGCAACAAGCAAAUUAUCAUUCUACCAUGUUUUCUAUGUACCCUACAGGAAUUACACACAAUAUUAAGUAACAUUAUAUAACGAAAAAUAAGUUCAUUUUCCUUUAAGAUUUCUUAACAUCAAGCAAUCUCAGUUUGGUAGUCACAAGCUUUUAAUACCUUUUCAACAUUGUCUAACUUCCCAGUGACCAAGAGCGGCCGUGGAUUUUCUGAACUUUUUAAAUCAACAGUUUUCAGUUCAAUAACAUUGCUUCUACAAGAGGUUUUUCAAAUGCUUUGACUCCUUUCCAUUCUUAAUAGUUAUUACAGGCUUUAGAGAGCUAUACAUGUGGAUUACGCAGAACAAUAUCUAAAUUGUCAAUAAAAAUUGAGAAAAAUUAAAUAUUGAUUUAAAUGUUUUAGAAUGUUAACAGUUCAUAAAACUAAAAAUAGAAAAAAAGAGUGGCACAAUGUUUUUCUUCAAAAUCUAACAUUUGGCCUAAACUGUAUAUACAAAAUAAAAACAGGAAAGAAAAGCACUAGAUUUUUAAAUUUGCUUCUGCAUCCAAUCAUUUGUAAUAUUUGGUUAGUUGCUACAAAGAAAAUCCAGCCUCAAAUACAUAUCAACGUGGAAGAUAAGGGAGCAAUUCAUUACCCUUUUCUGAUUUUUCUUCAUUUUUAUACAUACAACAAAGCUUGACAAGAGGUAUUUCCUUAAUAUCAGCUUCAGUGCAGAAUUUCAAACCUUCCCAGUAAAUAUUUUGUAGUUUAUACGCGUCACGAUAAUAUAUUAUAUGGCGAAUAGUUUUAGACACUGCAACCAAAUAUUAAGAUGUGUCAUAAAAACAAAUUCAAUAAUAUCCCUUGGAUGACAUCGCCAAAAGCAUCGUAGCUUUUUAAUCAAACACUUUUUUAAUCAAGUCAGGUCGGUUUUCCAUUCACAAACACUUUUCUAAAAACGAAAUUUUGUUUUGACGAUUUAACAACAUAUAUUAAAUAAUAAUAGUGUGUAAUGAGGGGGAAAGUGUGAACUAAUUUGGAAAGCAAUGAACCAGUGCAAAUAUCACAAAAUACCAUCUGCGCCAUUAGCUUCUCCUCAGCUGUUCUGGUGGAUGGCCCUCUCUGAUGGGGGUCUUGCUCUGUCUGACACCUUUCCAGAGAUGCGGUACCCAAUUAACUGAGUGCAACUUAGGGGAAGAUUCAGGGCACCGACUACGAAAUACAACUAGCAAGGAGGGACAUCUAAGUUUUAUAAAAGUGAAACACGCAUCGGGCGCUUUUGAACUACUGUCAGUGGAACCUUGACUCACACUUGACUUGCACUCUAACAGGCAACCCGUCGACAAGUUAGCUGCGCCAACUGCAGAGCUGUGCAAUCAAAAUUCCGGGGGAUGGGAGUUCUUCCACUUCAAGUGAACUGGCUGGCCCAGGUUGGGUAACCGGAGCAAGGUGAAUGAAAAUGGAUUGUGUGACGUGUGCAUCACACGAGUGAAAGGAAAUUAAAUUAAGUUCCCUGCUGCCAAACUUCAAAACUGCUUCUCAUCAGUAUGCUUUUGGUCCCAGUUCCCUCAUCAGGACUACAAACUUCAAGGAGAGUUUUUUUCAAGCUUAAAGGAUGCCGACUUUUCUUGGAAGCUUUUACUUUAGAAAAUGUACAGUUGUUAAUUCAGCUUUUUUCACUUUAAAAGAACUUGAAGUCGGACUUUCAUCUGCUUACAUUUAAAUAAUGCCGUCUUUGUCUUCAGUUUCCCGUUAAGUAACAGUAAGAUAAAUCAAAUACCUACUUUUUCCUGGGGCAGUGGGGCAAGGACUGAGUAUGAAUGUAGUUAGAUAUUGUUAAAUACUACACAGUAAUGGUAAAUGUGGUUAGCGUUUUUGGUUCUUUGUUGAGAUUUCUUUCAGUCUUUAUGACAAACAGAUGUUUACGUCUUUCUUAAAAGAGUAGUUUUCAAGAGACAGUGAAAGACCCCCGGAGUGGAGAGACUCAAGUCUCUGGAUAACAUGACCUCCCCACCCCCCAAGAAUUCAUAAGAGACCAUCCUUGCUGCAAUCACAUGAGGUUUACUGACAGGAACCAGAGCGCAGGGGUACAGGAGUUCGACCCCAGUAGCUGGGAGAAGGAGUAUUUAAGGAAAGAAACCAUAACCCAAAGGGGGUAGGGAGGGCAUCAUUGGAAAAUUCUGAAAAUACCAAUGAUAAUUACAAGGGGGUAACUCCCCGUUUCUCAAGAUUGUUCUCAAGAUUAUAAUCUACCUUUAUGGUCAGCUAGUUCCUGGAACAGAGUCACUGAACAGGCUAACCUAGAUUUUUGGCUGUACUCUUCCUGGUCCUUCAAUAGAUGUUUAAGGUUCUGGAGGUGCAGUGUAGUCCUUGAACUGGCCCUCAGCAAGAUCACUCUGAAGAUACUCCAGCAGCUACAGAGGACCACUGAAGACAUGCUCCAGAAAAGGCAGUAGUAGGAAGCAAGACUAGCAUUGAUGAAUUCUACUUAAUUCUGCAGCCGUUUUCACCGGAGACCUCAGGCAAUUCCUUUGUGGUGGCUGAAAAGAAGAAAAACAAAACAUAAUGAAAAAACACUCCAUUUUAUGCUAAGCACCCAUCUUCAGACUCAGUAGCCAUUUGUCUUACCUGGAAGGUAAGUUUCCAGUAACCCUCACUUGUGACUUCACCCAGAAAUGUACAGCAUUACUGCAUGACUAAUUGCUUUUUGGACUUCUUUAACUAAAUAGACAGAUACCCAAAGAUUGUUUUGAGUGGCCUUAACCACGUAAACUUGGCAGAACAGAUCAGUUUUUGCUUGCUUGCAUAA